This 575-nucleotide ribosomal RNA is filed under the name Cardiobacterium hominis. RNAcentral's name for it is "bacterial SSU rRNA". It matches the Rfam family "Bacterial small subunit ribosomal RNA", at positions 35 to 604 of the family's 1533-position model. Lineage: Bacteria; Pseudomonadati; Pseudomonadota; Gammaproteobacteria; Cardiobacteriales; Cardiobacteriaceae. The record is from RNAcentral.
GCUGGCGGCAUGCUUAACACAUGCAAGUCGAACGGAAACGAUGGAGCUUGCUCCAGGCGUCGAGUGGCGGACGGGUGAGUAAUGCAUGGGAAUCUGCCUUUUGCUGGGGGAUAACGUAGGGAAACUUACGCUAAUACCGCAUAAGACCUAAGGGUGAAAGCGGGGGACCGAAAGGCCUCGCGGCAAGAGAUGAGCCCAUGUUGGAUUAGCUAGUUGGUGGGGUAAAGGCCUACCAAGGCGACGAUCCAUAGCUGGUCUGAGAGGAUGAUCAGCCACACUGGGACUGAGACACGGCCCAGACUCCUACGGGAGGCAGCAGUGGGGAAUAUUGGACAAUGGGGGGAACCCUGAUCCAGCAAUGCCGCGUGUGUGAAGAAGGCCUUCGGGUUGUAAAGCACUUUCAGUAGGGAGGAAAGGUGCGUAGUUAAUACCUGCGCAAUUGACGUUACCUACAGAAGAAGCACCGGCUAACUCCGUGCCAGCAGCCGCGGUAAUACGGAGGGUGCGAGCGUUAUUCGGAAUUACUGGGCGUAAAGCGCACGCAGGCGGUUGCCCAAGUCAGAUGUGAAAGCCCC